CUACGGGCGGCUGCAGUGAGGAAUUUUGCGCAAUGGGGGGAACCCUGACGCAGCAACGCCGCGUGAGUGAUGAAGGCUUUCGGGUCGUAAAGCUCUGUCAAGUGGGAAGAACCUAUGCAGUGUUAAUAUCACUGUAUACUGACGGUACCACUGAAGGAAGCACCGGCUAACUCCGUGCCAGCAGCCGCGGUAAUACGGGGGGUGCAAGCGUUCUUCGGAAUCAUUGGGCGUAAAGGGCACGUAGGCGGCUUGGUAAGUCAGAUGUGAAAGCCCGGGGCUUAACCCCGGAAGUGCCUUUGAUACUGUCAGGCUUGAGUAUGGGAGAGGGAAGUGGAAUUCCUGGUGUAGAGGUGAAAUUCGUAGAUAUCAGGAGGAACACCGGUGGCGAAGGCGACUUCCUGGACCAAUACUGACGCUGAGGUGCGAGGGCGUGGGUAGCAAACAGGAUUAGAUACCCGCGUAGUC
RNAcentral lists this ribosomal RNA (465 nucleotides) under uncultured bacterium. Its description in RNAcentral is "partial 16S ribosomal RNA". It matches the Rfam family "Bacterial small subunit ribosomal RNA", at positions 339 to 795 of the family's 1533-position model. The record is from RNAcentral.